This 530-nucleotide ribosomal RNA is filed under the name Kluyvera ascorbata F0526. RNAcentral's name for it is "bacterial SSU rRNA". It matches the Rfam family "Bacterial small subunit ribosomal RNA", at positions 992 to 1522 of the family's 1533-position model. The record is from RNAcentral. Lineage: Bacteria; Pseudomonadati; Pseudomonadota; Gammaproteobacteria; Enterobacterales; Enterobacteriaceae.
AGAACUUAGCAGAGAUGCUUUGGUGCCUUCGGGAACUCUGAGACAGGUGCUGCAUGGCUGUCGUCAGCUCGUGUUGUGAAAUGUUGGGUUAAGUCCCGCAACGAGCGCAACCCUUAUCCUUUGUUGCCAGCGGUUCGGCCGGGAACUCAAAGGAGACUGCCAGUGAUAAACUGGAGGAAGGUGGGGAUGACGUCAAGUCAUCAUGGCCCUUACGAGUAGGGCUACACACGUGCUACAAUGGCAUAUACAAAGAGAAGCGACCUCGCGAGAGCAAGCGGACCUCAUAAAGUAUGUCGUAGUCCGGAUUGGAGUCUGCAACUCGACUCCAUGAAGUCGGAAUCGCUAGUAAUCGUAGAUCAGAAUGCUACGGUGAAUACGUUCCCGGGCCUUGUACACACCGCCCGUCACACCAUGGGAGUGGGUUGCAAAAGAAGUAGGUAGCUUAACCUUCGGGAGGGCGCUUACCACUUUGUGAUUCAUGACUGGGGUGAAGUCGUAACAAGGUAACCGUAGGGGAACCUGCGGUUGGA